Chenopodium quinoa (quinoa) is the source of this 413-nucleotide long non-coding RNA. RefSeq lists it as uncharacterized. The record is from RefSeq and is a predicted model, not a curated record. Lineage: Eukaryota; Viridiplantae; Streptophyta; Magnoliopsida; Caryophyllales; Amaranthaceae. The transcript is spliced from 4 exons.
UUGGAAACCCUUGGAGUGAGAAAAUCUCAAACAUUGAGGGAGUGCUUUUGAAAUCGUGAAGUUGUUUGAAGAUUGGAGCUCAAAAUCUCAAACAUUGAGGGAGUGCUUUUGAAAUCGUGAAGUUGUUCGAAGAUUGGAGCUCAAAAUCUCAAACAUUGAGGGAGUGCUUUUGAAAUCGUGAAGUUGUUCGAAGAUUGGAGCUCCCUAGCUGAUUGUAGGCCUUGUAGCAAUUAAUUAGGAUAAUUUCUUCGGUGGUUGGAGGCUGACUAUUGGAAAGGAUGGGCGAUAUCAAUGUAUUAAAUCAUACUAAGAGGAAAGUCUUAAGCAAGGAAGUCUUUAUGGAUGAUACUUUAAGCAUUGGUGGUAUAGUGAAAGCAAAGGGUGAAGUUAUAAAGCAACAAUGUAAUAUUUUC